This 3942-nucleotide unclassified non-coding RNA is filed under the name Hevea brasiliensis (rubber tree). Lineage: Eukaryota; Viridiplantae; Streptophyta; Magnoliopsida; Malpighiales; Euphorbiaceae. The record is from RNAcentral.
AUUAAAUUCCAUGUAACAAUGGAAAAUUUCUCCUGAGAAACAAAUUAACAUUAUAACCAAGGAAAAAGGGGGAUUUGAAUUUGAUCUCAGAAACAAGAUAAAUGAAGAUAAUUACAUUCAUUAGACAUAAACAUAACAGCUUACAAAGAUUAAUUUUCGGGAAAAUUAGAUGAAGAUGGUUCAAAAAGAAAAUACAGUUCAUAGACAAAUUUGAUGAACAAACCAACUGCUACCCACUCUCCGGAAGCCAAAAGGAAUCCUUCUUGUCUGUACACAAAAGUUGCAGGUUUUUUUUUUCCCCUUUUUCUUGUUUCUUUCUUUUCGCCAGUUCCACAAAACAGAGAGAUACUUUGACAUCUCUCUCCAUGUACUAUUUACACAGUAAUUACCAAAGUUCCAAAAGUCUUCAACUUCGUAUUCACAGAGUCAGGGAGAAGAAUCGGAGGCCACCGAAAAUAAUUAUCCAUUAGAAAACAGCAUAAAGAAUUAAAUUCCAUGCAGAUUUGACUCGGAUUCAGCUUCACUUUACCAGCUCAGAAACCCAACCAACAUCGGGUGCUGAUGCGCCUGGCUCAGCCCGGUGCAGUGAGUUUUCUUUGCUGAGCUUCGCAUAUAUCUUGGCUCUCAGGUCCCUUCCAGAUUCCACCCUCUCCAUUGCGGGCUCUUCCUCCAUACUUGGGUCCCAGAAGUCCAGCUGACCGACUCCAGGACGACUCAUUGUCCGGGUUGGAGUGGAAGGGAGACUGCAGAACCCGGGGCGUAGAGACGAUCCGCGAGGCGACCCAAACCCGGAUCCGUUCUGCAUGCCCCAAGAUGCAGGCCCCACUUUCAUCUUACCGACCUGCAAACCACGCAUACAGGCAACGAGCUCGCUCAUCGAGUUAAAAGACCCACCAACCACCUGCGGGCUACUAGGCGAAAUUGGCGGCGAAUCCGAUGGCGGAGACAUAGGCGGAGAAGUUAAAAUCGAGGUUGGUGAAGAGACGAACGAGCCCGCCUUAGUCAAGUAUGAGUCAAAAUGGUGCCUCAAAGGGGAGCCAACCUCCACGUCACCCGAUCCGGAACCGUUUCCCCUCGGGCUCUGUUGUGGCAAAACCCGAAGUUGAUCGGGAGUAUGGGCAAAGAAACAGACCCGGCGGCGACAAGCUGGACCAUCCUUGCAUGGUUGAGUGCGAUAUCGAGCCGGAUGAAGCCAACACUCAAAAACCCCAUGAGCAUACUCACACAUAUCACCACGCCUGCAAGCCCCUUUACGAAAAUCAGGGCAGGGCACACAACUGUAAUGAAACUUCCGUGGGUCUCUUCUCCGUGCAUUCUCUCCUGGGUGAACAAAUGGGCACUCCGUCCAGUCAUGUGAGUAUGCCCGAGAACAUGGGCGCACCUUGAAGGAGUACAUGCGAAACUCAUCUGUUGCAUAGAUGCUGUUCUUGAUGUCAGGGAGCGAUGGAUCAAUUGGAUAUUCUUUCUUCUCAGCAGUACUUAUUGGCAGAUCAUUGUACUUUGAGGCCAUUGGAGAAGAUACCAACACAGAAGGAGAAGAUGGUGAGCCAUUUUCUGGGGAUGAUGAAAGGGUUGGUGAGCUAGUAUUAGAGGUUCUUAAUGACAUCAGCAGAUGCGAGCAGUCACCAACAGAGACAUUAGAAGAAUGCUCACCAACAAACCCAUUAGAAUUAUGCUCACCUGAUGAACCAUUAGAAACAGUGUUUGAGAGAAGCUCUUCCAGAGCAACUCUCAGGCUAUGCAGCUUUGGCGGAACAAUAAUAACAUCAAUGGGGCGAUAGCCAUUACCAUCUAGGCAAUUCGGAUCUGCACCUGCAGAUAAAAGCAGUUUAACAACAUCAACAGCAUUAAGAGGUCCACCAGAAGCAGCACAGUGAAGUGCAGUGGCUUUGUCCAUCCCACAUGAGAGAUUAACAUCAGCAUCUGUAUGAGCAAGUAUAAACUUAAGAACAUCAAGACUGCCAUAUGUAGCAGCAACCAUUAGUGGUGUUCUAUGGUCAAGAACAAUAUUCUUUGAUCCCUUUUGCCGGCCAUACCAGUACCCAACCUCAUCAAUUGAGGAAGCAUCACGCUCUAUCAACAGCUUAAAGCCUUCAACAUCAUUGUUAGCCGCAAGGUCAAGUAAACAGGAAAAAGAGUCUCCAAUUUCAACAGUUAAAUGAUUCAUAUCUUUGGCGUUGGGUCUGUUUUUCUACAGUAGAUGAAGAUGGAGCAGAUAACUUUGAUGAUCGAUCUGGACCACCACACAUGCUUCAAUUAGCUGGAAAUCCAACCAAAAAGAAUUCAGAAUUCAUUUCAAAAACUUAAAUUUAUCAUCAGAUACACAUGGGAUGCAGAUUUGAUCUAAUAACACCGCAAUGAUUGAACAAAUCAUAGUAAGAAACAGUGUAGAGAAAUUAAACCACAGAACAAUACUUUUUAAGUACUUCAAAAAAAAAUUGAAGGAAGAAAAUUCCCUCAAUAGAGCUAAAAUUACAUAUAAAUCCUGCCUAAUUUACCACUAUUUGAGUUUAGCAAAAUGCAAAAAUUACAAGGGCAAAAAUACCUUAAUUUGUUGCCAUUAAAAGAAAAAAUGUCUGGCUGUAGGCAUGAAAUCAGACAUAAUAAGUAGGAGACACGAUCUUUUGUUAAAUGUAAGCCAAAACAAUAUAUACCAAUCAAUGACACUCUAGAAUGAUAAGAAAAAUUGGGAUGCAAAGCUAAAGUAAACUAAGCUAGAAGAUGAUCAACAAAAGGAAUAUUGGCUCAUGUCAUGUUAAAAGAUCUGGUGACAAUCGAGAAUCAUCCAAAUUAACCACUAUUCCUGUGUAAAUUUAACACGAGCAUAGAUUCUUAUUCUCUAGAUGAGGAAUUUCGGAUAUGAUCAAGAACAUAACAAGAAUCUAUCAUCAAUGUGCAGGAAUAAAAUCAUUAGAUAUUAUUGGAGAAUCCCAAAAACACAACAAUGACACCUCAAAGGUAUUUACCGUAAGGAAAUAAAUUCACCCCAACCAACGCAACAAACAUAACACUUCCCCAUCUGCAGGCCACGCAUCAACAUAAAAAGAGCAAACUUUAAAACCAACACAAAUUACAAAAAAAAAUUGUCAAAUAUAUAUUAACAAAAUCUGAUAUGACCAAAAGAUCAAGCGUUAGAUAAUUCUUUUUCAUUUUCCCUCCACUUGCUAGACAAUAAAUCAAAAAAAAAUAUAUCAAGCCAUCAGCUAAAGGUCACUACAAUCCCCAAAUUUCAUCACCAAGACAUACUACAAUAAGAUCACUAAACGUUAUAGAUAGAACUAAAUAGAAAACCACAAUACCAAACAAUAAUCAACUCAACAACCCAAUUCAAAUCCCACUUAGCUAAUGAUACCUUCAAUGAAUAUUUACUCUUUUAAUAAACACUCUCUCAAUGCAAGCUGAAAAGUCAAAUGACAACGCAAAUCAACUGAACUAGACUACCGAUCAUCGUUACAAACUUAAUUACCUAAAAAUAAGAAAUCAAUGCACAAUCAAAAACGGAUUUAAACAUGUAUUAACUCACUGAUUGUCGAAUUUGAAGCUAGGAUCAGCUUAAUAACUUAGAAAACAACAGAUCCAGAUAAUAAGCUUCAACUCAUACUUGAUCUAGAGCUAAAACAUCAAAAGGCGAUGCAGGCUGCAGUGUAGCAGAUGAAAGUCUAAGAAGCAAAACGACGCUUGCAGCUUCUAUCUCCAUCGAUAAAACCAAGAAGAGAGGAAGGAAGGAAGGAAGAAAGAAAGAAAGAGAGGAACUUGUUGCAGAUAGAGAGGAGCUGAGAGUAAGAAAAUGAAAGGAAAACUUUCCUUUGUUGCAGAAAGAGAAACAGAGAGAGAGAGUAAUGCCUCGAAAUUGAAAUGGAAAUGAAAUGCAGAGAAAUUUGGGACGAAUUUAAAUUUAAUCCCGGAGAUAUUGGGGGGAGAGAGAGGGAGGGCAGUGGAAAG